AAGAACACCAAACCCCCUACGCUUUUUCCUUCUCCUUUGAUGCUGCAUCGAGACACACAUAAACACACAUACAAAAACCCUCUCAAACUUUUCCUCCUGAUCAGUGUCAACUAGAAAUAAAUCAAAGGAAGAAUAUUUUGUUUUGUUGUUACAAUAAUCAACUAACAAGAACUUUCGGCAUCAUCAUCUUUAUCUAAUUCAUCUCUUUUCAAGAACAUUAAAUUGGUUUUGGAUAACGUGGAGAAUUGACUGUCGAUCUUCUCAAGCUACAUUGUACCUUUUAGCACUUAGAUCGCUAAGGUAACCAACAGUAAGUCUUGGAUCAUCUUGGCAUUUUAGGGCCAUUCUUUUGACUUUGGACGUAUAAUUAGCGUCAGACAUAUGAGAACUAUCAUUUUAUUAGUUCUAAUCGUACUAGACUGUUCAAAUAUUUAUCUUGUAUUCAGUGGGCCAAAUUCCAUAUAUGAAUGACUUGUAUCCGUAUUCUGGGGUUCACAUUUGAACGAUUGUACUUGUAUUAGACUUGUAUUUGGUAUUAAAUGGAUGUAAUUUCUAUUA
Long non-coding RNA from Erigeron canadensis, 558 nucleotides. RefSeq lists it as uncharacterized. The transcript is spliced from 3 exons. The record is from RefSeq and is a predicted model, not a curated record. NCBI's taxonomy places the organism in Eukaryota, Viridiplantae, Streptophyta, Magnoliopsida, Asterales, Asteraceae.